This is a long non-coding RNA of Astyanax mexicanus (Mexican tetra), 372 nucleotides long. RefSeq lists it as uncharacterized. NCBI's taxonomy places the organism in Eukaryota, Metazoa, Chordata, Actinopteri, Characiformes, Acestrorhamphidae. The record is from RefSeq and is a predicted model, not a curated record. The transcript has 2 exons.
AUUAUUAAAAUAUAAAAAAUUAUAUUUAUUACCUGUUAUGUAACCCAGCCCCUCAUUUGUGGCCAAAUCGCACCAAAGUGGUCUCAUUGGUUAGUGCUACGUUUGUGCUGGUUUGUGCAGCAAAAAUUAGUGUUUGUGCUGUUAUUGUUAUUGAUUUAUUAGGAAAAAAAUAUUGAAUAGGUGUGAAGCUGGCCCCUCAUAUAAUCAGAAAUGAAAUAAAAAUAUUUCCAUUGGUUAGUGCUACGUUUGUGCUGGUUUGUGCAGCAAAAAUUAGUGUUUGUGCUGGUAUCAUUAUUGAGAUAUUAAACAUUAUAUUUACUGUUAUUGACAUAUUAAGCAUUUAAUUUCUGACCUGUUAUGUAACACAGCCCC